CCUACGGGUGGCAGCAGUGAGGAAUAUUGGUCAAUGGACGAUAGUCUGAACCAGCCAAGUAGCGUGAAGGAUGACUGCCCUAUGGGUUGUAAACUUCUUUUAUAUGGGAAUAAAGUGUUCCACGUGUGGUGUUUUGUAUGUACCAUAUGAAUAAGGAUCGGCUAACUCCGUGCCAGCAGCCGCGGUAAUACGGAGGAUCCGAGCGUUAUCCGGAUUUAUUGGGUUUAAAGGGAGCUUAGGUGGAUUGUUAAGUCAGUUGUGAAAGUUUGCGGCUCAACCGUAAAAUUGCAGUUGAUACUGGCAGUCGUGAGUACAGUAGAGGUGGGCGGAAUUCGUGGUGUAGCGGUGAAAUGCUUAGAUAUCACGAAGAACUCCGAUUGCGAAGGCAGCCUACUGGACUGCAACUGACACUGAGGCUCGAAAGUGUGGGUAUCAAACAGGAUUAGAUACCCGAGUAGUC
RNAcentral lists this ribosomal RNA (460 nucleotides) under uncultured bacterium. Its description in RNAcentral is "partial 16S ribosomal RNA". It matches the Rfam family "Bacterial small subunit ribosomal RNA", at positions 338 to 795 of the family's 1533-position model. The record is from RNAcentral.